AACGGUCUAUACCUGCGGUACCUGCGGAAGGAUCAUUACAUGGCGGAGGAGGUGGGCACCUAGUAAAACAAAACCCUAGGUGUGUUGCCUACCACGCUUUCUACCCUUGUCUAUUUGCACCUUUUGUCGUUCCCUCGGUGGGUCUUGAACCUGCCGGCGGCAACUUUCAAAAACCUUUUGUAGUUAGUAUCUAAUUCUUCUGAUCAAAUAUUCAAUCGUUACAACUUUCAGCAACGGAUC
This 240-nucleotide unclassified non-coding RNA is filed under the name soil metagenome. RNAcentral's name for it is "partial contains 5.8S ribosomal RNA, internal transcribed spacer 2, and large subunit ribosomal RNA". The record is from RNAcentral.